RNAcentral lists this ribosomal RNA (500 nucleotides) under uncultured bacterium. RNAcentral's name for it is "partial 16S ribosomal RNA". It matches the Rfam family "Bacterial small subunit ribosomal RNA", at positions 30 to 523 of the family's 1533-position model. The record is from RNAcentral.
AUUGAACGCUGGCGGAAUGCUUUACACAUGCAAGUCGAACGGCAGCACGGACUUCGGUCUGGUGGCGAGUGGCGAACGGGUGAGUAAUACAUCGGAACGUGCCCAGUCGUGGGGGAUAACGUAGCGAAAGCUACGCUAAUACCACAUACGAUCUAAGGAUGAAAGCGGGGGAUCGCAAGACCUCGCGCGAUUGGAGCGGCCGAUGGCAGAUUAGGUAGUUGGUAGGGUAAAGGCCUACCAAGCCGACGAUCUGUAGCUGGUCUGAGAGGAUGAUCAGCCAAACUGGGACUGAAACACGGCCCAGACUCCUACGGGAGGCAGCAGUGGGGAAGUUUGGACAAGGGGCGCAAGCCUGAUCCAGCCAUUCCGCGUGCAGGAUGAAGGCCUUCGGGUUGUAAACUGCUUUUGUACAGAACGAAGAGGCUCUGGUUAAUACCCGGGGCUCAUGACGGUACUGUAAGAAUAAGCACCGGCUAACUACGUGCCAGCCGCCGCGGUAA